This 292-nucleotide ribosomal RNA is filed under the name uncultured Alphaproteobacteria bacterium. Its description in RNAcentral is "partial 16S ribosomal RNA". The record is from RNAcentral. Lineage: Bacteria; Pseudomonadati; Pseudomonadota; Alphaproteobacteria.
GGACUACUGGGGUAUCUAAUCCUGUUUGCUCCCCACGCUUUCGCGCCUCAGCGUCAGUAUCGGUCCAGUGAGCCGCCUUCGCCACCGGUGUUCUUCCCAAUAUCUACGAAUUUCACCUCUACACUGGGAAUUCCACUCACCUCUCCCGACCUCAAGCCGACCCGUCUCAAGCGCACCUCCCAGGUUGAGCCCAGGGCUUUCACGCCUGACAAAGUCGACCGCCUACGCGCCCUUUACGCCCAGUCAUUCCGAACAACGCUCGCCCCCUCCGUAUUACCGCGGCUGCUGGCAC